UAUUUUCUCCCUCCGCAUGAUUUUUGUUAUCUUUCUCCCUGCGCCGCUGACCGUGUUGCUCCCACUAUUCAAUCUCCUGAGUCAUGUUGAAACAAGAAAACCCUAAAAGUGAUUAGAUCCCUCCGCCUCCCAACUCACUCUCUCUUCUUCAUUUCCCCUGUUCAUCUUUCUUGUUCAACUGUACUCCCUUUGUUCCUUCAGCAUGUUUGUCAAUUCUUGAUGACCCUCUUCAAUCCUCAAAAACAACACUUUAUUUGUCUCUUCAACACCAAAUCCUCUUCCCAAAUCACUACCUCAUAAUCCUCAAUAAAAAAAAUCCAACCCAUGAACUUGAGUUGAAUCGGUCCUUGAUGUUCAUGUUCAGUCGAUUAAAUCUAUGGACUAUUACGACGAAUCUCGAUCUGUAGCGAGAUGCCCAUUUCAUGAAACGAACGACUCGACUUCCGGCGGGGUUAAAGUUGUCACCUUGUGGCGGUUUGGUGAAGUGGGUCGUCGGAAUUUAGGUGUUUUAAAGAAACAAACGCCGCAGUCUUGGGAUAGGGUUGCGUAUGAAGCGAUGUUGGACGGUGAUACUGUUGUUGUUUUUGUGAAAGGGUUGAAUCUUCGACCACACAAGAUCUCGGAUCCGACGAGUUUUUGUUGUCAUUUUGGGUUACGAAGAUUCCACAAAGAUGGUGUUGGAGCUUCCUUUUUGCUUAGUACAAGAGUGGUUUCGGUGGCUCAAGAAAUCGUGAGGUGUGUUUUGCCGCAGAGUGUUAGAAACAAACCUGAGAAAGCUCGUGGAGUUCGGGUCACUGUGAGUAAUCUGAGUGGGAAUUUGAGGCGGCAAGUUCGUACCCUUUUGUCGUCAGUAGCUAGAAUUGGUAAUGGAAGUGUUCGUAAGGAGAGUAGUGAGAAGCAUGAGCUUUGUGUUUGUAGUAAUAUGGUUUGGAAUCAAGCUUGUGCGUUGAGGGAAUGGUUCGUUAUGCUACAGAUGGAAAUUGAUGCUGAUGAUGUUGAUGCUGUCGAAUUGGUCGAUUUCUGCAGAGCUCGGUUCGUUAAACGUUGAUGCGUGGGGAUAAUUACUUCCUAAUAAACACAUGAAACGAGUUUUUUGCUAUAUGAUGUUGUUCUAAGUUUCUUAGACUUUGUUUUUUGUGGGGUUGGAUGCAGUUAACUAUGGCUAUUGCAAAGGGAGUGGCAGUUGUAACUCGCUUUGGCAUUGAGGAGAUAACAUCAUAUCAGUGUACCUCCAGGAUUUAGAUAUCAUCCAACAGAAGAACUUGCAGGGUAUUACCUCAACAGUAAAAUCAACUCACUUAAAAUUGAUCUAGAUUGGAAAUAAGUUUGUAUAUUGAUGUAGUGAUGAUGGUAUGUUAAUUUUUUGACUUUUGUGUUGUCUGUUGAUGUUAAUUUGUGUUAUUAUUUAUUGUCAGCAAAUAUGAUUUUGGUGUUGUCUACUGAAGCUACAACUCAUCUUCUUGUGGAUUUCAUGUUGGUAUUUCAAGUGUGGGAAAUGACUUAUAAAUGGUUGGAUAUUUUAUAUGUUUUCACUUGUUUUGUUGUCGUAGUAGUCCACCGUGUGUAAACUUCCUUGUAAUUUUGUACACUUGUGUGUAUCCUAGAUUAGUACUUUUCUAUAUCAAUUGUUCAUUUUGAAGAAUAUAUAUGUGCAUCCUAGCUAUUUGGUGUAAUGAAAUUACUCUUCACUGGUUAGAAGAAUAUGAACAUAGCGAUUUGUGUGAUGUUGAAAAAAUACGAAAAAUAGCGAUCUAAAUGUGGUCUGUGUGAUGUUGGAGAAAAAAAUUACAGGAAAUCCGCCUCGAUUCCGCUAAAAAAUAGCCUGAUUUUUUAAGAAAGAUAGCAAACAAAUUACAUCGGACAAGCCUUGCAACCGAUGUAAAAACUAUCUAUUACAUCGGGCAAAGUGGAAAACCGAUGUAAAAACAAUCUAUUACAUCGGGCGGACAGGAAAACCGAUGUAAAAUAUGGCGUAUAUAUUUUUUUAUAAAAUAAUUGCAUUAUUUUUCACAU
Vicia villosa (hairy vetch) is the source of this 2013-nucleotide RNA transcript. It is a transcript of the gene named glycosyltransferase family 92 protein RCOM_0530710-like, with no coding region annotated. The transcript is spliced from 3 exons. The record is from RefSeq and is a predicted model, not a curated record. Lineage: Eukaryota; Viridiplantae; Streptophyta; Magnoliopsida; Fabales; Fabaceae.